GACGAACGCUGGCGGCGUGCUUAACACAUGCAAGUCGAACGGAAAGGCCCCCUUGUGGGGUACUCGAGUGGCGAACGGGUGAGUAACACGUGAGUAACCUACCCUUGACUUUGGGAUAGCUUCAGGAAACUGGGGCUAAUACCGGAUAGGAGCUCCUGCUGCAUGGUGGAGGUUGGAAAGUUUCGGCGGUUGGGGAUGGACUCGCGGCUUAUCAGCUUGUUGGUGGGGUAGUGGCUCACCAAGGCUUUGACGGGUAGCCGGCCUGAGAGGGUGACCGGCCACAUUGGGACUGAGAUACGGCCCAGACUCCUACGGGAGGCAGCAGUGGGGAAUAUUGCACAAUGGGCGGAAGCCUGAUGCAGCAACGCCGCGUGCGGGAUGACGGCCUUCGGGUUGUAAACCGCUUUCGCCUGUGACGAAGCGUGAGUGACGGUAAUGGGUAAAGAAGCACCGGCUAACUACGUG
Molecule: ribosomal RNA, 465 nt
Filed under: uncultured bacterium
Lineage: Bacteria
Description: partial 16S ribosomal RNA
Rfam family: Bacterial small subunit ribosomal RNA
Source: RNAcentral